AUGGAGCACAACAAACAACUGCAAAAUUGCAUGUUCCAUCUUUCUUAUAACUUGGUCACCCAACUCAGCUGCAUGUUUCCAUUGUCAACCUCAUACCAACGGUCCCAGGAAAAACAAGAGAGAAGCAAGCACACGAAGUCCCACAAUAAGGAGAACACUGAGAUCUGCUCUGUCAUCCUUGGGUUCUGGUGGUCAGUCCUCUACCUUGGGAAGGAUGCAACAUACAAAUCAGAUGCAGAGCAGAAAAACCCUUAGCUAACAAUCAGAGAAAUACGAAGAGGCAUGCUCAAGAGUUCAUUACCACAUGGUUGGGAAGAAUGAGAAACUGGAAACAACCUAAAUGCCAAUCAGUAAAGAAAUGGUUCAACAGACUUUGGCAGAGCAAUACAUGGAAUUCAUUGCAAAGGUUAAAAAUAAAAGAAU
This 423-nucleotide long non-coding RNA is filed under the name Chinchilla lanigera (long-tailed chinchilla). RNAcentral describes it as "lncRNA (ENSCLAG00000026476.1)". Lineage: Eukaryota; Metazoa; Chordata; Mammalia; Rodentia; Chinchillidae. The record is from RNAcentral.